UACGUAGGGUGCGAGCGUUGUCCGGAAUUAUUGGGCGUAAAGAGCUCGUAGGCGGUUUGUCGAGUCAGCUGUGAAAACCCGGGGCUCAACCCCGGACCUGCAGUGGAUACGGGCAGACUAGAGUGCGGUAGGGGAGACUGGAAUUCCUGGUGUAGCGGUGAAAUGCGCAGAUAUCAGGAGGAACACCGGUGGCGAAGGCGGGUCUCUGGGCCGCUACUGACGCUGAGGAGCGAAAGCGUGGGGAGCGAACAGG
RNAcentral lists this ribosomal RNA (253 nucleotides) under uncultured bacterium. RNAcentral's name for it is "partial 16S ribosomal RNA". It matches the Rfam family "Bacterial small subunit ribosomal RNA", at positions 524 to 776 of the family's 1533-position model. The record is from RNAcentral.